UGGGUAUAGGCAGUCGAUGGCUCCCGUA
This 28-nucleotide non-coding RNA is filed under the name Homo sapiens (human). Lineage: Eukaryota; Metazoa; Chordata; Mammalia; Primates; Hominidae. The record is from RNAcentral.